GAUGAACGCUGGCGGCGUGCCUAAUACAUGCAAGUCGAGCGAACAGACGAGGAGCUUGCUCCUCUGACGUUAGCGGCGGACGGGUGAGUAACACGUGGAUAACCUACCUAUAAGACUGGGAUAACUUCGGGAAACCGGAGCUAAUACCGGAUAAUAUAUUGAACCGCAUGGUUCAAUAGUGAAAGACGGUUUUGCUGUCACUUAUAGAUGGAUCCGCGCCGCAUUAGCUAGUUGGUAAGGUAACGGCUUACCAAGGCAACGAUGCGUAGCCGACCUGAGAGGGUGAUCGGCCACACUGGAACUGAGACACGGUCCAGAAUCCUACGGGAGGCAGCAGUAGGGAAUCUGCCGCAAUGGGCGAAAGCCUGACGGAGCAACGCCGCGUGAGUGAUGAAGGUCUGCGGAUCGUAAAACUCUGUUAUUAGGGAAGAACAAAUGUGUAAGUAACGAUGCACGUCUUGACGGUACCUAAUCAGAAAGCCACGGCUAACUACGU
Molecule: ribosomal RNA, 496 nt
Filed under: uncultured bacterium
Lineage: Bacteria
Description: partial 16S ribosomal RNA
Rfam family: Bacterial small subunit ribosomal RNA
Source: RNAcentral